UACGUAGGGUGCGAGCGUUAAUCGGAAUUACUGGGCGUAAAGUGUGCGCAGGUGGCCGCGCAAGUCGAGUGUGAAAUCCCCGAGCUUAACUUGGGAAUUGCGCUCGAAACUACGUGGCUCGAGUGUGGCAGAGGAAGGUGGAAUUCCACGUGUAGCAGUGAAAUGCGUAGAGAUGUGGAGGAACACCGAUGGCGAAGGCAGCCCCCUGGGCUAACACUGACGCUCAUGCACGAAAGCGUGGGGAGCAAACAGG
This 253-nucleotide ribosomal RNA is filed under the name uncultured bacterium. Its description in RNAcentral is "partial 16S ribosomal RNA". It matches the Rfam family "Bacterial small subunit ribosomal RNA", at positions 524 to 776 of the family's 1533-position model. The record is from RNAcentral.